AUUAAAAUAAAAAGAUUAUCUCAAGGUGCAUGAGGCCAAAUUCUAAUCUAUUUUAGUCCUCAUUGAUAUGUUUAUCAAGAUUGUGUAAUAUCUUCUGUGAAUGAUGGGUGGAUGAAAAAUUUAAUAAGGAAACAGAUUUUAUUGUGAAAAGACCACUAAAAAUGGCAUUACCUAGAAAUGAAAUUUGACCUUUAUUAUUUGAGUUGAAAGAGGAGAAACUUGUCAAAUUGUUCUGAGAAAUUAGCUUUUUUUCAUUUUCUGAAACUUGUGACUGACUGAAUAUAUAAAAAUUUUCACUAUGCCCAAAACUCCCAUGGCAUCCAUGUUACCUAUAGUGAUUUGGUGAAUCAAGCAGAGCAGUUAACACUGCAGACUAUAGAACUGAAGGAGAUUAAAGAGUGAACCCACAGUACUUUAUUGACCUAGGUCCCCACAUUAACCUGAUCUGAUCCUGUAAUUACUAUGAAUAGAAUAGGGCUUACAGUUCUCUUUAAUAACACCCCAGGCUUUUUUAUUCUAUAAAGAGAUUUUCUAUUCAUGUUCUUUAUUCCUUUCCAGAUUUACAGAUUUGUAGCAAGAAAGAAUGUGUGUGGCUUUGCUAACACACCGGGAGAGAAAGAUACCUAAUGUUCAUGGGCAGUAAGUCCAACAUGUCCACUUUUUUUUUUUUCUUUUUGGAGCUGAACUUACUUUAAAGUCAUAUUUCAAAUUAUCCAAUCACCUCUUGCUGUUUAAAAGGAAUAAAAGUUGAGUUAGAAAUUGACUAAUUAUAAGGAAGAUUGGGCUUUAAACUUAGGAAACUACUAAAAGAUCAUAAUUUCAUAGUAUUCUUCUCAUUGUAACUUUUAGAGUGCUUACCUUUAAACUCAUAUUGAAAACCAUUAGCUACUUUAACCUCAUCAGAAUGAUAUAUAGUCAGAAUAAUUGUGCAUUUGAGUGAUAUGCAAUGC
RNAcentral lists this long non-coding RNA (950 nucleotides) under Marmota monax (woodchuck). The record is from RNAcentral. Lineage: Eukaryota; Metazoa; Chordata; Mammalia; Rodentia; Sciuridae.